GACGAACGCUGGCGGCGUGCUUAACACAUGCAAGUCGAACGGAAAGGCCCUGCUUUUGUGGGGUGCUCGAGUGGCGAACGGGUGAGUAACACGUGAGUAACCUGCCCUUGACUUUGGGGUAACUUCAGGAAACUGGGGCUAAUACCGGAUAGGAGCUCCUGCUGCAUGGUGGGGGUUGGAAAGUUUCGGCGGUUGGGGAUGGACUCGCGGCUUAUCAGCUUGUUGGUGGGGUAGUGGCUUACCAAGGCUUUGACGGGUAGCCGGCCUGAGAGGGUGGCCGGCCACAUUGGGACUGAGAUACGGCCCAGACUCCUACGGGAGGCAGCAGUGGGGAAUAUUGCACAAUGGGCGGAAGCCUGAUGCAGCAACGCCGCGUGCGGGAUGACGGCCUUCGGGUUGUAAACCGCUUUCGCCUGUGACGAAGCGUGAGUGACGGUAAUGGGUAAAGAAGCACCGGCUAACUACGUG
This 468-nucleotide ribosomal RNA is filed under the name uncultured bacterium. RNAcentral describes it as "partial 16S ribosomal RNA". It matches the Rfam family "Bacterial small subunit ribosomal RNA", at positions 28 to 507 of the family's 1533-position model. The record is from RNAcentral.